This 323-nucleotide ribosomal RNA is filed under the name uncultured bacterium. Its description in RNAcentral is "bacterial SSU rRNA". It matches the Rfam family "Bacterial small subunit ribosomal RNA", at positions 29 to 342 of the family's 1533-position model. The record is from RNAcentral.
AUUGAACGCUGGCGGCAUGCCUUACACAUGCAAGUCGAACGGCAGCACGGGGGCAACCCUGGUGGCGAGUGGCGAACGGGUGAGUAAUACAUCGGAACGUAUCCAGUCGUGGGGGAUAACCAGUCGAAAGAUUGGCUAAUACCGCAUGAGAUCGAAAGAUGAAAGCGGGGGACCCCGAGGCAACUGAGGGGCCUCGCGCGAUCGGAGCGGCCGAUGUCGGAUUAGCAGUUGGCGGGGUAAGGAGUCCACCAAGGCGACGAUCCGUAGCUGGUUUGAGAGAACGACCAGCCACACUGGGACUGAGACACGGCCCAGACUCCUAC